ACUGGGCACCGCACACAAACAGCCAGGAAAGAAUUAUUGCCAAAGGGGAGCUGAGUGCACAGCAACUAUUGGAAAUGUCAGUAGGUAUCUGUCUGCAAUCAACACUCUGUCUUCAUAAGUCUGACAGUGGGAUUUUUUUUCCCUAAUGUGACACAUCAUACUGAGGUAAAGCACAUACAAGUGAUUGUCAACUGCCAGCAACUAAAAGGGAGUUCCUGCCAAAGUACCGAGUCAGAAACAACAUCCCCCAUGAAAGACUUUCAGGAAACUUAAGCGUUAGAAAAUAAAAAUUUACAGCCGAACUAUAAUCAUUACUUAGCCCACUGACAAAACAAUGCAAGUACAGUUCCACACAGAAAAAAAGGAGUUCUUAUGCAUCAUCUAACGAGCAUGCACACACAUGCUACUAAUCAGCUAUGCUACUGUCACUUCAAUUGCUUUAAUAAUGUAUCAGCUCUACAAACAGAAUAACCAAAACCACUGACCACUUCUUAUUUCUGGAAUAAGAAUUACUAAGGAAAACAAAGAAAUAAAAAAUGCAAGUUAUUUUUCAUCCCGUUCUGAAACUCUUCAAACAGCUUCUGAAAUACUGGCUGGGCAGAAGAAUCCUCAGCCAUGGCCACUAAAAGAAACCCACAUUCAUUAUCCACUAGAUUUCUGCAAGUGCUGGAACAUAGAAAGAAGAGCAAUCAGUGCCAAGCACUGACCCGGGCAGCAAGCCGCUCAGUUCAGUCAAAAGCCAACAAUUUGCUUCUCAGAGCUUUGUUUAUGGAGCCUAGAAUGACAGUCUAGUUAGACAUCCUGCAUUAUCUCUGAAAAGCUCAUACUGACUAAAAGUCAUAAGGGAUGCACAUUCAGAAUGCUCUCUCAUCACGGAAUAGGCACGCAUGUGCAAGCAAAAGGUAGGGCAGGCUAAGUAUACACCUAUUAUUAAGUCAUAAAUAAAUGAAUAAUGAAUAGGUGCAUUAUUUCUUGUAGCUGUAUUCAGAUGCUGUAGAUCAGAGCUGGUUUCUUUCCAAGUUUGGUUUUUUUUAUAUUGUGUUUCUUUAACAAGAACCAUCCAAAACUCAGGCACAACACAAGAUACAAACACCUGCAAGGCUGCUGCUAACUGUUUAGUUAACUGCUAGAACUGCAGGCCUUGAAGGAGCAUUUUCUUCUUUACUGUAUUUUGAAGAUCUGGGAUAGAGAUGCCUGAAGAGUUCAUGAAGGCACCUCUCCUUCUAUUUAAGCCAUCAGCAAAUGAUUACACCUGCUUAGCAAAGGUACUGGAGCAACAGUGUCAAAUACGCUGGGAUCUGUGUCAAAGGGCUUACGAGAAGAAUUAAGAAGAGAUCAAACACUUAAAUACAGGUGAAGAUGAAGAUAACAAAACAAGAAGAGUUAAGUAAAUUACCCAGAUCAGCUGCACAACCUCUGAGGCAAAAAAAAAAACCCAAAACCCUAACCAAACAAAACCAACAACAACAAAAAAACCAAGCCAUCCAACCAAAAAACAACCCAAGCACACGGAGUAUGGAAAUAAUCACAUAAAAUAAUCAACUCUUCGAGGAUACGUAGGAGUACUGAUUAUUCUACAAGCCACAAAACAAAGUACGAGGCGUAAGUAAGUGUUUAUGGCUUCCAUCCACAUUUUAGUGGGGGUAGGGGAAGUGCCUGCAGACAAGUUCAGUUUUCUGCCACACCACACCACCCCUCCACUCCUGACAGAUGCUGCCUACUAUUCCCUAGCCACGUUGUCUAGUGCUGUUCAGCAGCUGACAAUCUCAAAAAAACCAAACCAAAACGAAAAAACAAGCCGGGACCAGUGAGAGGGGAAAGCGGCUUUUCUUCAUCAAAAUUCUGAGUUUGUUCCUGCACAGAAAGUGCGGUUAGUUUCGGCUAUAACACUGACCCGCAACCUGAGCCCAGCCAGUAUUUAAAAUACAAAACUACGUGUCGCCUUCGGGCGCCGCA
Non-coding RNA from Cyanistes caeruleus (blue tit), 1956 nucleotides. NCBI's taxonomy places the organism in Eukaryota, Metazoa, Chordata, Aves, Passeriformes, Paridae. The record is from RefSeq and is a predicted model, not a curated record.